AGAGAUAAAAAUUAUAUUAAUAGUAAAGUGAUAAAUUGAGUGAAAGGAAGAGAUAAACACAACAAAUUAAUGUAUUUUAGAGACGUUUAAUUUAACAAUAUUUUUAUUUAUGGAUGGUUUUUUGUAAAUCCCAAAUGUUAAAACAUAUUUACUUAAAAUUAACUCAUUGCAAACUUUUCUUUUAAAGUGAUCAAACAACUUACUACUUCUUACAUUUAAAGGAGGAAAAGAAUGACACAAAUUCCAUCUUUCAUUUAUGUUUUGAUCAUCUUUCUUUCCCAAUUUUUAUUUUUUGUUGUAGCGAAUUGUAAUUUUCUGAGUCCGAUUCCAUGCGGGAUUCCAAGUGAUUGUCCAGAAAAUAUGUGUGAUGGGGCUCCUCUAGUUCGGUGGUGUUUUAAUCAUCGUUGUGAGUGUAUGUAAGUGUAACAAUUAAAUUGAAAAAUAAUUCAUUGUUGUAUGUUUUAAUGUUGAUACUCUUAUAAUUUCCCACACACAUGUGUAUUGUUAUAUUAUACAAGCUCAAAUAUGUAUUAAUUGUUAUAUUAUACAAGUAGGCAACCUUCAUUCA
Molecule: long non-coding RNA, 568 nt
Organism: Vicia villosa (hairy vetch)
Lineage: Eukaryota; Viridiplantae; Streptophyta; Magnoliopsida; Fabales; Fabaceae
Exons: 2
Source: RefSeq, a predicted model, not a curated record